CCUAUAAGGCGCUGCUUGUUUAAGUACAGUCUCAUUUAGUUGGAGCUGCAGGGAGUGAGGGAGAGGAGGAUAGGAAAGAGGAGAGCGGGAGAGCUUGAGGGAGAAGGGGGCUCGCUGUGUUUACACCAGACACAGGCUUCGAGCGUCCAUCCCGGACUCUGAUUCGCGCUCUCCAAGUGGAGAGCUAAGCUGUUCUGGGAUCCGUCCGUCGUGUGGCAGGAGCCUCAUCUGUCCUGGUUGCGGGAGCUGGGAGAGCCCAGAGGGAAACCGAGGGAAGCAAGCGGCGCGUUUUACUAGAGAGCGCGAGCAGAAGGGGUCGAGAGCCAAGCGUGUGAGGGAGCAUCAAGCGCGGCGAAGACAUGAGGACCUACUGGCUGCACAGCGUCUGGGUGCUGGGCUUCUUCCUGUCCCUCUUCUCAUUGCAAGAUUGUUUCCAGACACCCAGUUGGAUACCAGUUGGAAAGCAUGGGGACUCUCCCGGGAAGUAUGAUGAUGCAGAAUGUCAGAGAAAAAGUGGCUGUGCAAGAAUAAGCAGAAGAAAAGCUUGAUGAAUUUGAGCUUUGACUUUGUUGAAUAUUGUAUUGGAGACAUAGAAUGUACCUAGACACAUCAAGGCAAUUCGUUUACUCAUUCUGUAAGAGCCGACUUGGUUCCUGGAACUCUUCUAAGUACUAGAGACUCAUCACUGACUGGAACAAAGAUGGCCUAAUUUCAUUUAGAUAUUAGGCACUUGUUAUUUUCAUCAAUUAAGAAAAAAAAUCUAAUGAAAGAAAAGAAGAUUUAUACAUAGUAUAAAAACAAGUGGUUUUAGAGUGUUUAUUUUGUGACAAAUAUAGCAGGUGUUAUAAGUUCCUUUUAUAUUUGUGAAAUGAUCAUUGGUCAUUCUCUGGACUCCUUUCUGUGUUAUACUCUCUUUCUGUGGAGGGUAAACAACCAGAUCUCGAGCUCCAUGGAAAUGGAUGACAUUUGCCUUAUUGACAGUUACUAUUUACACAUAAUACAUUGCAGCUUACGUGUAUUCCAUUUUAAUUGUCAUGCUCUGGAUUAUACUUUAAACUGUGUUUGGAUUAGGUUUGUGAUUUUGUUUUAUUUAUUCCUUCAUUUUUAAAUGUAUACUUUUAAGGCUUUGCAUAUAAUAAAUUUUCAUGGUCAUUUCCUUCUCAAUAGACAUAACACUAUCUAUGGUUUUCAAUGUUAUAGUUCCUUUUAAUAAAACUGGGAAUUUUGUUUUGAUGA
Ictidomys tridecemlineatus (thirteen-lined ground squirrel) is the source of this 1236-nucleotide non-coding RNA. Lineage: Eukaryota; Metazoa; Chordata; Mammalia; Rodentia; Sciuridae. The record is from RefSeq and is a predicted model, not a curated record.